UGUUGGGUGGUAUUUUUGGAGACCCCCUUCUGUAACUUCUGUCUUGAUAUGGUUUGGAUGUUGGUCCCCUCCAAAUCUCAUGUUGAAAUGUGAUCCCUGAUGUUGGAGGCGGGGCCUGGUGGGAGGUGUUUUGGUGAUGUGGGCAGAUCCCUCUCACAAUGGCUUGGUGCCGUCCCUAUGGCAAUGACUGAAUUCUUGCUCUGAGUUUAUGGGAGAUCUGGUUGUUUAAAGGGGUUGGCACAUCCUCCUCCCUCUCUUGCUCUUUGUCUCGCCAUGUGAUGUACCUGCUUCCUUUUCACCUUCUGCCAUGAUUGGAAGCUUCCUGAGGCCUCCCCAGGAGCAGAUGCUGGUGCCAUGCUUGUACAGCCUGCAGAACUGUGAGCCAACUAAACCUCUCUUCUAUAAAUAACCAGCCUCAGGAUGGUCAGGGAAGACCCUGCUGAGAAGCCACCAUUUGAGCCAAGACUGGAUGAGCUGAGGCUGUGGGCCAGGAUGACAUCGAGGGUGGAGCCUUCCAGGCAAAAAAACAAUCGUGUGAAAGUUUUUCAUCAUGUCCAGGCACCACGUCUUCCUGGUCAGGCCCACGUUACAUACGAGAACAAUGGAACAAGUCAAAGGCAAAGCAACACGUCCCCCUGUAAAAACCGUCAGUGUAACCGUCCACUUCCGUAUCUGUCCAGUCACUUAACAAAUAUUGACGGACCACCUUUAAACACAGGCUGCUGUGCUGGUGUCUGGGACACAGCGGUGAGUAAGAGCCGUAAGAGCCAUCUGAUCUAAUGACACUCUCAGGAAGUUCCAGUCUAUGAGGAUGGACAGCAUGCAGGUCAACACAUAAACAUCAUUCAGACUGUGAAAAAUGCAAUAAAGGACACAGAUUGGGAGAUGGGAUAAAGAGUCAUGGGGGUGGAGCUACUGUCUCAUUUUGGGUGAUCUGGGAGGGCCUCUCUGAGGAAGUGACAUGUGGACAGAGUUCUGAAGAAUAAGAAGGGGCUGCCAUGGGUGAUUUGAGGGAACAGCAUGCUAGGUGGAGGGAAUAGCAAGUGUAAAGGCCAGAGAUCAGGAGGAUCAAAUAUGAGGCCAGGGUAUCCAAGAAGUCAGGAGAGUGCUAAGAGAUGGGGAUGCAGAGACACUGUCAGGUGAGAUAGAAAGAGAAGGGAGUCGGCCUGGCACGGUGGCU
Molecule: long non-coding RNA, 1180 nt
Organism: Gorilla gorilla gorilla (western lowland gorilla)
Lineage: Eukaryota; Metazoa; Chordata; Mammalia; Primates; Hominidae
Exons: 3
Source: RefSeq, a predicted model, not a curated record